RNAcentral lists this long non-coding RNA (812 nucleotides) under Mytilus galloprovincialis (Mediterranean mussel). Lineage: Eukaryota; Metazoa; Mollusca; Bivalvia; Mytilida; Mytilidae. The record is from RNAcentral.
UUUCGUCGUAUAUUGCUAUCACGUUGGCGUCGUCGUCGUCCGAAUACUUUUAGUUUUCGCACUCUAACUUUAGUAAAAGUGAAUGGAAAUCUAGGAAAUUUUAACACAAGGUUUAUGACCACAAAAGGAAGGUUGGUAUUGAUUUUGGGAGUUUUGGUCCCAACAGUUUAGGAAUUAGGGGCCAAAAAGGGCCCAAAUAAGCAUUUUCUUGGUUUUCGCACUAUAACUUUAGUUUAAGUUAAUAGAAAUCUAUGAAAUUUUGACACAAGGUUUAUGACCACAAAAGAACGGUUGGGAUUGAUUUUGGGAGUUUUGGUUUCAACAGUUUAGGAAUUAGGGGCCAAAAAACGGCCCAAAUAAGCAUUAUUCUUGGUUUUCGCACAAUAACUUUAGUUUAAGUAAAUGGAAAUAAAAUUUAAACACAAUGUUAAUGACUACAAAAGGAAGGUUGGUAUUGAUUUUGGGAGUUUAGGUCCCAACAGUUUAGGAAUUAGGGGCCAAAAAGGGACCCAAAUAAGCAUUUUUCUUGGUUUUUGCACCAUAAUGUUAGUAUAAGUAAAAAGAAAUCUAUGAAAUUUAAACACAAGGUUUAUGACCAUAAAAGGAAGGUUGGUAUUGAUUUUGGGAGUUUAGGUCCCAACAGUUUAGGAAUUAGGGGCCAAAAAGGGACCCAAAUAAGCAUUUUUCUUGGUUUUCGCACCAUAAUGUUAGUAUAAGUAAAAAGAAAUCUAUGAAAUUUAAACACAAGGUUUAUGACCAUAAAAGGAAGGUUGGUAUUGAUUUUGGGAGUUUUGGUCCCAACAGAAUAAGGG